GAUUGAACGCUGGCGGCAGGCCUAACACAUGCAAGUCGAGCGGCAGCACGGGUACUUGUACCUGGUGGCGAGCGGCGGACGGGUGAGUAAUGCCUAGGAAUCUGCCUGGUAGUGGGGGAUAACGCUCGGAAACGGACGCUAAUACCGCAUACGUCCUACGGGAGAAAGCAGGGGACCUUCGGGCCUUGCGCUAUCAGAUGAGCCUAGGUCGGAUUAGCUAGUUGGUGAGUAAUGGCUCACCAAGGCGACGAUCCGUAACUGGUCUGAGAGGAUGAUCAGUCACACUGGAACUGAGACCUACGGUCCAGUACCUUCCGUA
Molecule: ribosomal RNA, 319 nt
Filed under: uncultured soil bacterium
Lineage: Bacteria
Description: bacterial SSU rRNA
Rfam family: Bacterial small subunit ribosomal RNA
Source: RNAcentral